ACUGCUCAGUAACACGUAGUUAACCUAACCUAUGGAUGGGGAUAACCUCGGGAAACUGAGAAUAAUCCCCGAUAGAUCACAAUGCCUGGAAUGGUUUGUGAUUCAAAUGAUUUAUCGCCGUAGGAUGGGACUGCGGCCUAUCAGCUAGUUGGUGAGGUAAUGGCCCACCAAGGCUAUAACAGGUACGGGCUCUGAGAGGAGGGGCCCGGAGAUGGGUACUGAGACACGGACCCAGGCCCUAUGGGGCGCAGCAGGCGAGAAACCUUUGCAAUGUGCGAAAGCACGACAAGGUUAAUCCGAGUGUCUUCUGCUAAAGAAGUCUUUUGUUAGUCAUAGAACCACUGAUGAAUAAGGGGUGGGCAAGUUCUGGUGUCAGCCGCCGCGGUAAAACCAGCACCUCGAGUGGUCAGGAGGUUUAUUGGGCCUAAAGCAUCCGUAGCCGGUUGUUUAAGUUUUCGGUUAAAUCUAUGCGCUUAACGUAUAGGCUGCCGAAAAUACUGGACAGCUAGGGAGUGGGAGAGGUACACGGUACUCAAUAGGAAGGGGUAAAAUCCUUUGAUCUGUUGAUGACCACCUGUGGCGAAGGCGGUGUACCAGAACACGUUCGACGGUGAGGGAUGAAAGCUGGGGGAGCAAACCGGAUUAGAUACCCGGGUAGUCCCAGCUGUAAACGAUGCAAACUCGGUGAUGCAUUGGCUUGUGGCCAAUGCAGUGCCGCAGGGAAGCCGUUAAGUUUGCCGCCUGGGAAGUACGCACGCAUGUAUGAAACUUAAAGGAAUUGGCGGGGGAGCAC
This 793-nucleotide ribosomal RNA is filed under the name uncultured archaeon. RNAcentral describes it as "bacterial SSU rRNA". It matches the Rfam family "Archaeal small subunit ribosomal RNA", at positions 85 to 879 of the family's 1478-position model. The record is from RNAcentral.